Molecule: ribosomal RNA, 1463 nt
Filed under: fermentation metagenome
Description: bacterial LSU rRNA
Rfam family: Bacterial large subunit ribosomal RNA
Source: RNAcentral
UAAGUUUCGUAGUCAAAAGGGAAACAGCCCAGAUCAUCAGCUAAGGUCCCAAAGUGUAAGUUAAGUGGAAAAGGAUGUGGGAUUUCUAAGACAACUAGGAUGUUGGCUUAGAAGCAGCCACUCAUUUAAAGAGUGCGUAAUAGCUCACUAGUCGAGUGAUUGUGCGCCGAAGAUAACCGGGGCUAAAACUUACCACCGAAGCUAUGGCAAUGCGAAUGCAUUGGGUAGAGGAGCAUUGUGUAUGAAGAGAAGCUAGAGCGAGAGCGACAGUGGAUUGUACACAAGAGAGAAUGCUGGUAUGAGUAGCGAAAGUUAGGUGAGAAUCCUAACCAUCGAAAGUCUAAGGUUUCCUGAGGAAGGUUCGUCCGCUCAGGGUAAGUCGGGACCUAAGCCGAGGCCGAAAGGCGUAGGCGAUGGACAACUGGUGGAGAUUCCAGUACCACCUUUAAGCGUUUGAGAGAAGGAGUGACACAGGAGGAUAAGCUAACCGCUCGAAUGGAAGAGAGCGGCCAAGCGUCAAGUAGGGAAGCAUAGUAAAAUGCGUGCUUCUAGUAACUAUGAGGCGUGACGGGGACCGAAAAUAAGUAGGGAAGUAGCGGAUUUCACACUGUCGAGAAAAGCUUCUAUCGAGCAAGAAGGUGCCCGUACCGUAAACCGACACAGGUAGACGAGGAGAGAAUCCUAAGAUGAUCGGGAGAAGUGUUGUUAAGGAACUCGGCAAAAUAACCCCGUAACUUCGGGAGAAGGGGAGCCUAACCCACUUUGAUGGGAAGGUUGCAGAGAAAUGGCCCAAGCGACUGUUUACCAAAAACACAGGUUUCUGCUAAAUCGAAAGAUGAAGUAUAGGAGCUGACGCCUGCCCGGUGCUGGAAGGUUAAGGGGACUUGUUAGCGCAAGCGAAGCAAUGAACUUAAGCCCCAGUAAACGGCGGCCGUAACUAUAACGGUCCUAAGGUAGCGAAAUUCCUUGUCAGGUAAGUUCUGACCCGCACGAAAGGCGUAACGAUUUGGGCACUGUCUCAACAACACACCCGGUGAAAUUGUAGUACUCGUGAAGAUGCGAGUUACCCGCGACAGGACGGAAAGACCCCGUAGAGCUUUACUGUAGCUUGACAUUGAACUUUGGUAUUGCAUGUACAGGAUAGGUGGGAGGCUAAGAAGUUGGGACGCCAGUCUCGAUGGAGCCACCCUUGGGAUACCACCCUUGUAAUGCUGAAGUUCUAACCAGUGGCCAUAAUCUGGUCAUGGGACAUUGUCUGGUGGGCAGUUUGACUGGGGCGGUCGCCUCCGAAAGAGUAACGGAGGCGCCCAAAGGUUCCCUCAGAAUGGUUGGAAAUCAUUCGAAGAGUGUAAAGGCAGAAGGGAGCCUGACUGCGAGAGAGACAUCUCGAGCAGGGACGAAAGUCGGGCUUAGUGAUCCGGUGGUACCGAGUGGAAGGGCCAUCGCUCAACGGAUAAAAGCUA